GCCAUACCAUGCAGAAUAUACCGAUUCUCGCUCGAUCACCGAAGUCAAGCAUCAUCGAGAUCGGUCAAUACUUAGGGAGGGUGACCACCUGGGAACACAGCGUGCAGU
This is a non-coding RNA of Caerostris darwini, 108 nucleotides long. The record is from the annotation of a GenBank genome assembly. Lineage: Eukaryota; Metazoa; Arthropoda; Arachnida; Araneae; Araneidae.